UUCGGUCAAGUUGAACGGAUGACUUAGUGGCGGACGGGUGAGUAACGCGUGAGGAACCUGCCUUUCAGUGGGGGACAACAGUUGGAAACGACUGCUAAUACCGCAUAAUGUAUUUUGACCGCAUGAUCGGAAUACCAAAGAUUUAUUGCUGAAAGAUGGCCUCGCGUCUGAUUAGAUAGUUGGUGAGGUAACGGCUCACCAAGUCGACGAUCAGUAGCCGGACUGAGAGGUUGAACGGCCACAUUGGGACUGAGAUACGGCCCAGACUCC
RNAcentral lists this ribosomal RNA (270 nucleotides) under uncultured Oscillospiraceae bacterium. RNAcentral's name for it is "partial 16S ribosomal RNA". It matches the Rfam family "Bacterial small subunit ribosomal RNA", at positions 58 to 339 of the family's 1533-position model. The record is from RNAcentral. Lineage: Bacteria; Bacillati; Bacillota; Clostridia; Eubacteriales; Oscillospiraceae.